Molecule: ribosomal RNA, 484 nt
Filed under: uncultured Curtobacterium sp.
Lineage: Bacteria; Bacillati; Actinomycetota; Actinomycetes; Micrococcales; Microbacteriaceae
Description: bacterial SSU rRNA
Rfam family: Bacterial small subunit ribosomal RNA
Source: RNAcentral
AAACUUAAAGGAAUUGACGGGGCCCGCACAAGCGGCGGAGCAUGCGGAUUAAUUCGAUGCAACGCGAAGAACCUUACCAAGGCUUGACAUACACCGGUAACGCCCAGAGAUGGGUGCCCCUUUGUGGUCGGUGGACAGGUGGUGCAUGGUUGUCGUCAGCUCGUGUCGUGAGAUGUUGGGUUAAGUCCCGCAACGAGCGCAACCCUCGUCCUAUGUUGCCAGCGGGUCAUGCCGGGGACUCAUGGGAGACUGCCGGGGUCAACUCGGAGGAAGGUGGGGAUGACGUCAAAUCAUCAUGCCCCUUAUGUUUUGGGCUUCACGCAUGCUACAAUGGCCGGUACAAAGGGCUGCGAUACCGCGAGGUGGAGCGAAUCCCAGAAAGCCGGUCUCAGUUCGGAUUGGGGUCUGCAACUCGACCCCAUGAAGUCGGAGUCGCUAGUAAUCGCAGAUCAGCAACGCUGCGGUGAAUACGUUCCCGGGCCUU